GUGUGAACAGACACUGUUGGACAGAUGGUUGGAGUUUAGUCCCUUCCUUCGGGACUCUCCACCACUCCGGCUUCACUUCUCCUGCCCAGCCCUGUCCUGGGUGCACAGAGAGGGAAGUCACUCCAUUCCUGCCCUUGAGGAGCUCCCAGACCCGGGGCAGGAGCGGGAUGCAGACAACUAGACAGCACCCUGGGCCGUGCAAGGAAUGUACUACAGAGCCAAUUUUACUGGCAAAGGAAUGGAGGAUCUGAAAGGCUAGGGGAUCCCACAGGCAGUGAGGAGCAGGUCUGGAAUUUGAACCAAUCGGCAUGAUUCCCACGCUCAAGCUUUUGGCCACCGUCCGCACUGCCAGGGACAGAAAAAAAAAACCUGAGAGGAGAGCCAAGCCAAGCUGGGGAGUCAGGACCUCCCAGCCAGGUCUGGAUGGGAGGCUGCGGGAAGAGGCUUUGCCCAGCAAUAGUCCUGAUCUGAUGGCUGCUUGAAGCACAAUAAACAGAUAGUAUUUCUGCACAUGUCACUCUGAGUAUGAGGGCAGUAAUCUUGAAACUCCCCGUGACCACCUGGCACUCUGGAGAUGGAACUCCGCAGCCUGUUUUCAAAGCCAGUUCCUGGUUGGAAGCUCCUCUUCAAGUCUAACAGAAGGACAACUGACGGCAGAGCUGGGAGGAAAUGUGGCCUCGUGAAAGGAGAAUCAGAUCCGGCAGCCAGAAGCUUCCCACCAGGAGGCAGAAAAGGAAGAGGGGGCUGUGUGUGCCCUAGCAGAGGCCUGACCCUCUAGGAACCUCUGUCUCUCCUUCAGUGAGUGGAGAAGCUGGGCUGGCUGCUGGCCUAGUUUUGCCCUCUGGUCUAAUCAAGGAAGACUUCCCAGAAGAGGAGGAACCUUGGCUGGGUCAAGAAAAAACAAUGGGCAGAGUUUAAACGGGCAGAGGUGGGGUGAAAAGGCAUGAGUCACAGAAAGCCAUGUAAGCAAAAGCCUAGAGUAGAAAUCACAAGCUGUAGUUCAUUAAGUUGAAGCCCUGAGAGGGGAGGUGACUUGUCUCAAGACACACAGAAAGGCAGGGAUAGGCCUACAGCAAAGCUGCUGCUCCCCCAUCCCCAGGCCUCUUCCCUCUACUGCUGUCUGCAUCCUAAACCCAAUGAGGUGAGAAGAGAUUAUUUCCAUUUAAGAUGAGUCUUCCCCAGUGGUACUUGGUGAAGCCUUAGAAUAGCAAAAGAAUGGUCAUAACAUGGAACAAGGGGGCUGUGACACGUUGAGGCAAGUGGCAAAGGGAGACCUUUGGGACAAGGUGGAUGGCCUCCUACCUUCUGGCCCCACUUCUCUGGAUCUGGGAAUUAUCCUGGGUAAGUCCAUCUCAGAUUAUCACCCAGGACAGAGACAGAAGCUGUUCCCAUAAGGCCAACAGUCACAGAGGUGAGGGGCCUCCAGGUUCCGCCAGCCAGGCAAGGCGUGCCUCCCCUCUGCCCUGCUCCUACUAGGACCCAGUUUCCUGAUCCUCCCGUCCCUACCCCGACUCCCACUCCAGGACUGGGCAUUGGGCGAGGCAGGCAUAGGCAAGGACUGGGCUGUCCUCCAGCUCUGCCG
Papio anubis (olive baboon) is the source of this 1582-nucleotide long non-coding RNA. NCBI's taxonomy places the organism in Eukaryota, Metazoa, Chordata, Mammalia, Primates, Cercopithecidae. The record is from Ensembl.